RNAcentral lists this transfer RNA (82 nucleotides) under Podarcis lilfordi (Lilford's wall lizard). RNAcentral's name for it is "tRNA.Ile". The stretch from base 10 to 68 matches the Rfam family "tRNA", at positions 8 to 63 of the family's 71-position model. Rfam says of the family: Transfer RNA (tRNA) molecules are approximately 80 nucleotides in length. Lineage: Eukaryota; Metazoa; Chordata; Lepidosauria; Squamata; Lacertidae. The record is from RNAcentral.
GCAGAUGGAUAGCACAGUUGGUUAGAGCAUGGUGCCGAUAACACCAAGAUUGCAGGUUCGAUCCCCGUAUGGGACAGCUGCA